GACGAACGCUGGCGGCGUGCUUAACACAUGCAAGUCGAACGGAAAGGCCCUGCUUUUGUGGGGUGCUCGAGUGGCGAACGGUGAGUAACACGUGAGUAACCUGCCCUUGACUUUGGGAUAACUUCAGGAAACUGGGGCUAAUACCGGAUAGGAGCUCCUGCUGCAUGGUGGGGGUUGGAAAGUUUCGGCGGUUGGGGAUGGACUCGCGGCUUAUCAGCUUGUUGGUGGGGUAGUGGCUUACCAAGGCUUUGACGGGUAGCCGGCCUGAGAGGGUGACCGGCCACAUUGGGACUGAGAUACGGCCCAGACUCCUACGGGAGGCAGCAGUGGGGAAUAUUGCACAAUGGGCGGAAGCCUGAUGCAGCAACGCCGCGUGCGGGAUGACGGCCUCGGUGUAACGACUUCGUCCUCGUGACGAAGACGUGAGUGACGGUAA
This 436-nucleotide ribosomal RNA is filed under the name uncultured bacterium. RNAcentral's name for it is "bacterial SSU rRNA". It matches the Rfam family "Bacterial small subunit ribosomal RNA", at positions 28 to 478 of the family's 1533-position model. The record is from RNAcentral.